CAUGUAGGCGGCUGAGUAAGUCGGAGGUGAAAGCCACGGGCCUAACCCGUGAACUGCCUCGGAAACUGCUCAGCUCGAGGGCUGGAGGGGAAAGUGGAAUUUCGGGUGUAGCGGUGAAAUGCGUAGAUAUCCGAGAGAACACCGAUGGCGAAGGCAGCUUUCUGGCCAGUUCCUGACGCUGAGAUGCGAAAGCUAGGGGAGCGAACG
Molecule: ribosomal RNA, 207 nt
Filed under: uncultured bacterium
Lineage: Bacteria
Description: partial 16S ribosomal RNA
Rfam family: Bacterial small subunit ribosomal RNA
Source: RNAcentral